CCAGCCAGGACUCAAGGAAGGGACGAAGUUUGCAAUCCUGGGAACUCUGCACCCCGGGCUUAGCCUCUAUUGGAAUCACAGAGAUGAAACGGAAAGGGCAACUGGUAAAUGAAUUGUCUCCAUCUCUGCUUAUAGAAAGCAGGGCUCGGCGCCAAGUGAACAAGCAGCGCGUUUGUAUUUGAAAUCAUUAACUAGCUCCCUCUGCGAUUCCAAGUACUAAAUUAUGACGUUCUCCUCAGAGCAACAGAAUAAUGGACAGCAGGACACCUGCAGGGGGAAGGGAAGCCAGCCGAUCAGCCAUGGGGAAGCUCAUCCAUGGAGGGAAAACUCGAUCUGGACCUCCAGCCGACCACCUCGGCAGUCAGUUUCCGCAGAUGUUUGACAGCUCCCACACACUGCCGUGCCUUUGCUCUGGAUCGUGCUUUCCGUUGUCUCCGACAUGUUUUGAAAUCCAGCUUUGAUGGAUGUCUGUCUGCUGCUUUUGUCUGUCUGUCAUUUGCUGCUUUCUCUUUUGCCUGCUGUUCAAUGAAUAAACUCUCACAUUGGAAACU
RNAcentral lists this long non-coding RNA (551 nucleotides) under Rattus norvegicus (Norway rat). RNAcentral's name for it is "long non-coding RNA NONRATT021550". Lineage: Eukaryota; Metazoa; Chordata; Mammalia; Rodentia; Muridae. The record is from RNAcentral.